GGGGGCGUAAAGGUUUCGACGGGGAUUUUGAAGCACGGUAAGCGAGCAGAGGUGCGGGAGCUCUUAAAAACGCCGCAAUUUUAAAAAUAAACGCUAACAAAAAUUUAGCUUACGCUGCCUAAUUACGGCGGCCGUCAUACCCGGGAGUACUGCGGCCCGGGCUAUGGCGUGAAUCAGCAGUGAACGUGAACGAGCCAAAGCUUUGAGGCUUGUCAUGAUACUAUGAAGCUACCGGAGCGGACGGCCUGACUGCCGGCGGUUCGUUCGGGGAAUCUUAUAGACAGUCUACGCUCGUAGAAGGCUGUGUCGAUGAGUUUUCGGACAGGAGUUCGAUUCUCCUCGCCUCCACCA
Molecule: transfer-messenger RNA, 351 nt
Filed under: Eubacteriales
Lineage: Bacteria; Bacillati; Bacillota; Clostridia
Also listed under: 1 other name
Description: UMGS882 sp003343885 Standard tmRNA
Rfam family: transfer-messenger RNA
About the family: Bacterial tmRNA, also known as 10Sa RNA or SsrA, is named for its dual tRNA and mRNA-like properties. Its role is to liberate the mRNA from a stalled ribosome.
Source: RNAcentral